Molecule: long non-coding RNA, 11760 nt
Filed under: Zea mays
Lineage: Eukaryota; Viridiplantae; Streptophyta; Magnoliopsida; Poales; Poaceae
Description: long non-coding RNA (ZMAY_LNC004375)
Source: RNAcentral
UAGGUGUUUAAUUCGCUAUCGCAUAGCACUAUUUAGGUUUGUAAUAUUCAUGUUUAUAUGCAUUCAUAUGCAUAAUGCAUUUCAUUCAGGUACGUUAAUUAAUCGCGUGAUGCGGAAGAAAAACCAAGUCGACCCCAAGCGUGGGCUAAUCUGCAAGCUGAAGCUGAUGAAUCAACCUGAAGAUGGUUAAAUCAAGCAAGUGCUCGGUCAAAGAAUACUCGUCAAGCGGACGUCACCUAACAACACUAACCUAGUGUUACUCAGGCAAGCCCCGGUGCAUGCAACCCCUUUCCUUGUGUUUUUAAAUACUUUUCGCACACUUUAAGUCUAGUGAAAUGUGCAUUAAGUUUAUAGGAAUUGCUUGAAACCCUUUGAUGCAUUGCUUUCCUUGGUAUCCAUACCUUUAUCGAUACUUCUGUGAAGUAUCAAAAUUAUGAUUUACAAAAAUGCUUAACCUUGCUUAGAUCUUGUGGAUAGAGGUUGUCCUCAAUUUAACCCGGGAGAGGAUGGCUUCUACCUGCAAGAAUAUUUUCAUUUGGAGCAAUAGUGGGAUCUUACUGCAAAGUUCCCUGUGAUGCUCUUUCAUCCUAAGGAACAGACACAAUCCUAAGGAUGGAAAUACUUAAAUUGAGACUUGGGGUAGGAACAGGUGAUGUUCUACCCAGGUUGAUUAAGGAUUAACGCGUAUGUAGGCUUGAUGAUCGAGGACCCUUUAACUGGUCACAUGCCUCGUCAUGGGUAAGCCUUGCCUCGGGCAGACUAAGGCCGGAAUAAGAUAACACGAAAUGGGCGUGGAGCGGUGGCGAGAGUAGCGUGUACCCUCCGUGGCAAGAGGCUGGACGGUGGUGUAUCUGUGCUCUCGGUUUGCGUGAACCUGAUCCGGUCUUAAGAACCCCGGUGGCGGGUUGACAUAUGCAAGGGUUAAGUGCUACAUAUGUCGUGUGAUUGGAGAUCCUCAGCUGAGUAUAAUCGAUUCGGAUCGCCGUACCUUCGCGGUUAUGAAGACUUGGUCACUGCCCUGCAACCUAAAGUCAGGAUGUGAACACUAUGGAUAAAAAUGAUGUUGUAUUGAUGAGAUGGAAAUUAGACUAGAUGCAAAUGGAGUCUAUUAAUACUUAAUAUGGCGUUAAAAGAUUGAAAGUAAGGACUCACGUUAGUAAGCUACUUCUGCAAAAAUAUAAGUUGAUUUUUGCUAAAGCCUCUCCUUGACUCCUAUUUAUCCAGCAUACCCUUGAGAGUCUUUUCCUUAGUCGGGUAAGACUUGCUGAGUAAUUCCAUACUCAGGGUUUUAUUCCCUGUUGUUUUUCAGGUCCUAGUUUUGUGCUGCUGAUGAUGGUGUUAAGUGCCGGUGGGCUCGGCCUUCUUAUAAGUUUAAGUAACUCCCUUAUACUUCUUAUUGAGGAUGGUCUUUUGAGCUAGCAUAUAUUUCAAACUUAUAACCACUCCGAUAGAAUAAUAUAAAAUUUUUGUAACUUGUAAAAUUUGGUAAUAAGAUUUCCGCUGCAAUAAUAUUGUUGUGUGUGAUUUGUGUUACUUAAUCCCGCGGUUCUGGUUGUAAGUGGUUUAUCCGAUGUCCUUGGGGUAAUCGGACGGAUCCUGUUAAGUUAUUUGGUGCACAUGCAUAGUCGUCUGAGGUCUUUGAGACAAGGACAGGUGCAUGUGGGCCCAAUAACUUGGGAGGUUCUGCCACAGCUGGUAUCGGAGCAGGAUUAAGUAUAUACGGUCACAUACGUAUUUUCAAAACAAAAGUUUUGGUUUCGAAAAACCUAUUUUCAACUAAAAACAUUGAUUGGCUUUAAAAAAACAGUUUUCAAAAACUAUAAUGCUAGCGACAUCCUCUGUUAAGCCCUAAACUAAGGACUAUCAGGUGGCUUAGUUGAAAACCAUAACCCAUAAUCGGGUGGGUAUUGCAUACAUGUGUAUUGUUAUUUUUGAGGCCAUUCAGUUUUGAAUGGAUCGACGGUUAAGGUAAGGUGAGAUGUGAGAGCAUGACCGAACAACCGUCGGUCUAGGGAAGUGUUUAAUUGUUGCGCUUGAUUAUAUACAUGUUCCACAUAUGUAUAUAUGAAGGCUGCGAUAUGGAGUAAUUACUUUUCUGGGAAUUCAGUACCCCGUGAAUGUGUAUGGGUAUACAGACAUGGGAAUACUGAGAAGUGUAAUGUACUUGUAACGACGCACCUACGCUCAGGUAAGAAGGUGAGUUACCAUAAUGACACUACAGGAAACGCAUAAAUUUUCGUGGGCCUAGCUAUUUUCGUCGGUCGGCCCACGAAAUUACAUAGUUAUUUUCGUCGGCUCUCGGGACCGACGAAAAUUUGGCUUAUUUUCGUGGGCCAGUACAUAUUUUCGUCGGCCGACCCACGAAAAUAGGAAAUAUAUUUUCGUCGGCCCCGGGGCCGACGAAAAUAAGCUGUAUUUUCGUCGGUCAUAGCUAGACCGACGAAAAUAAGUCAAUUAUUUUCGUCGGCCUUCUCCCGGCCGACGAAAAUAAGGCAUUAACUGACCACUAUUUUCGUCGGCCUCAGUGAGGCCGACGAAAAUAGUGGUCCGUUAAUCGGCCUCAGCCCACUUUCUCUCUCUCGCUCGUCUCGCACUUCUUAUUUGCGCCGCCGCCCGCCCGCUCUCCGUCUCCGCGCCGCCGUCGGGUCCUCCCUCGCCGCUGCAACGCCGCCCGCCCGCCCGUCCUCCCUCGCCGCUGCAGCGCCGCGCGCCCGCGCCUGCCGCGCCGCCGCUGCGCGCCCUCCGCUGCGAGCCGCCGCUGCGCGCCCGCCCGCCGCUGCGCGCCCUCCGCUGCGAGCCCGCCUCUGCGCGCCCGCCGCGCGCCCGCCUCUGCCCACCGGCGAUCACCGCCUCUGCCCCAUCGCGCCCGCUGCGCGCCCGCCGCGCGCCCGCCUCGCCCGUGCAGCUCCGGCGACACGCGCCCCCACUGCUCGGCAGCCUCGCCCCCACCACCGCCCUCGGCCCGAGAGCCUCGGGCACCGGCUCUCUCCACCGCCGUCCCCCGCCGCAGCCGCACCGAGCUCUGCCUCGCCUCCUAGUCCGACAGGUAAAAUUUUAAAUUUUUUUAGUUACUUAGCUCAUGGUAAAGUAUAUUGUUUAAUAUAGCAUUAUGUUAAACUAACUAUAUAGUGAUUAUAUAGUUAGGAAAUUGUUAGUAUAUUGGAUGAAGGAAAGUCAGUGAGUAUAUAGUUAGCAUAUACUUGUAGCAUAUUGUUUAGCAUAUACUUGUAGCAUAUUGUUUAGCAUAUACUGGUCAACAUAUUGUUUAGCAUAUACUGGUCAGCAUAUUGUUUAUUAUGUAGCUAUCGUGUAGUUUUCUGUGUUGGCAACCAUCGUGUUGUCGUUUAUUUGCAGGUUUUAGAAACAUCACUUUAUAGGGGAGGUGCUGCCGAAUUUUUUAUUAACAAUAAUAUUUUUUGUACAUAGGUGUUCUUCCGACUUGACCUUCUCCACCGUUAGCUAGACUCGUACAUUAUUCUCAGGUAUACAUUGUUUUUGUAAUUUGUCAUGUAUACAUUAUUCUCAGUUUUAAUCGUUAACCGUAGCGAACCGUAUGCGUCACCCGUUCGGGAACGGCGAACGUCACAUUGGCUUGUGAGGUUCGUCACAGCCUCCUCCUCACCAUGGAUCACAGGUGACGUUCCAUGUUUAGUUUUAUGCAAAUAUUGACCAAACACAGCAAUGUAUAGGUAUAGGGAUAGCAAAAUAUAGCCUUAUUUGAAUGAUUGAUGAAUUGCAGGAUUCAGCGUCACAUGCUCAUGGAUCGGAGGGUGGUGUCAACGUCCAAGACUUCCUCGUCCAUGGUGCUGGAGGGAGUGGCCACCUUCCUGGUGGCGGAGGAGGGAGUGGCCAAAACUCCCACAGCCCGCCGGAGUGAGGAGUGAGUAGUGAGUGUGUACUAUGGACUGUUUAUGGACUUAUGGACUAUUUAUGGACUCUGGACUUAUUUGAAUGGACUAUGGAAUGUGUUUUGUGAAUUAUGUGAAUGUGUUUUGUGAAUUAUGUAUUUUGCUUGUGAAUGUGUAUAUGUUAAUUGUGAUAAUGUUUAUUUUGCUGUGAAUUAUUAAUAGGUGCAGAAAAAUCUGUUUGGGGGGGGAACAUCAAUUUUCGUCGGCCUCGGUGGUGGCCGACGAAAAUAAGUUCUCAGGCUAUUUUCGUCGGCCUCAGUGGUGGCCGACGAAAAUAGCCUGGGAACUUAUUUUCGUCGGCCACCACCGAGGCUGACGAAAAUAGUUGGUCCACUCACUAUUUUCGUCGGCCUUGGGAAAGCCGACGAAAAUAGAUAAAUUUCGUCGGGACCGACGAAAAUAGUUGCCUAAUUUCGUCGAAUUUAUUUUCGGCGGCUAUUUUCGUCGGCCUGCCGACGAAAAUAUUCUAUUUUCGUCGGUUUAGGCUUAUUUUCGUGGGUUUUUGGCCCACGAAAAUUUAGGCGUUUCCUGUAGUGUGAGUUGCCCUAUGGUUAAAGUGUGGCAACGGCGCCUAUGCGUGGCUCGGCGCUUAAUGAUGAGCUGGCCUCCAUAUAGCAAUAUAUGGAGUAUAAACUGUGAUAAAAUGUCAUGUGUGAACUGCAUCAUUGGAAAUUGGGCUGUGAUGGAUUUUCUGCAGGUACACUAACCUCGAAAACGUAUGUGUAGUUGACGACUAGCAAAAUACCGUGAGAGUCGUAAGUAUGCCACCGAUAUAUAACGUUAUUGCCACAUUAUGUUGGCAAAAAUCAGUGAGGACGUAUAGGACGAGCAUGCAUCCUGAUUGUUGCAUCAUGUUUGUCACCUAUACACCCAAAAUGCUUCUCUCAUCCUUAUUCUAGUAACCAUUGAUUGUAGAUAAUAUGGUGUAAUGCUGAAUUAUGAACUUCGAUAAAAUAGUUGUCCUCCGUUCCUUAGGUAUUAUGUUUAGAUGCUAUAUGUUUGCUCUUGUGCUUGAUGUAUCGAUAGAAGGUUAGUGACUUGUUUGCCUAAACCCAAAAUUAGGCCAUGUUCUUAUCUGGUAAACCUAGACCCAAAUUUGAAUUUACCAUUAUCCCUCCUUGACUAAACCCAUGCAAAUAAAUGCCUAGAUAACUUACUUGUUGAACAUAAAUUGUAUCUAGGCUUAAACCAAGAAUCUCGAGUCAUGUCUCCAUCCUAAACCAUGUCCUUGUUCGGUUGGUGCAAGCUGAUGUACCUUAUCCAGCUUGCCUGUUUUUAUGGACCGCCAUGUUACUUUAUCGACCUAACUUAGGAAAAGCAUGUCCGACCAUUUUCUUGAGUUUGAUGUCUUUAGUUUCCCCAUAGUUAUUGAAGACAUACUAACUUAAUCUUGUGAUUGUUUUCCCUCCGUAUCUAAUCAGAUACUAAUCCUUGUCCUCGUGAUCUCUAUGAUGGGCAUAGAAAUAUUCUUGGGCUAAAGCAACAGUCUCCCAUCAUACUCCUUUCAUCAAGUUUAGGUUAUGGCCAUGUCUUGUUCAUUUCCUUGGGCCAUAAUCUAUUUGGUUCUCUACUUGUAACCAUUCUUACAGGUGGAGUAUCUCCUUGUAUAAUGUCACCCUAGCCCAAUUCAUUUGUGUCGCGUGAGAUUUCUUACUGGUUAUGUCUAAUAAUGGUGUUGUGACUAAAACUGAUGGUGCCGCGACAAAAUCGAGGGCCUCCUGUGGAUGCAUACACAUGGUUGCGCUACUUGGCACGCGCUGGUAUCACAGUUAGUAGUCAUAAUCCAUUACGAGACUAUGUCAAUACGUUAUCUUGGCACAAUUUGUGUUUGCUACGUAAGAUUCGUUAUUGGUGCCAGUUCAGUAGUGGUGUCACGAUUAAGGACUUAUGGUGCCGCAGCGAAACUGAGAGCCCCUUGUGAAUGUACACGCAAGGUUAUGCUGCUUGGCGCAUGCUGGUAUCGAUGUCUCUAGUCAUGAUCCAUUGUGGAACUACACUGAUGUGUGAUCUUUCGUGGAGUCCUCCCUUGAAACAAAUUUUAUGUUGUUUGUCAAGUGAUCAAGCAACAUCUAUCAUCUUUGUUGGAUCAAAAGGGCAUACCACUUUCAUGUGUGGUCUCUUUUCUUUUGAUCUUGGUAGUGACUACUCAUACAAGUUCCCUUUACAUCCUUUGUGUAAAGGUGAAGCCUUGGAGCUUUUUAGUGUUGGAAAACAACUGAUUAGCUCUCAAAAAGGAGAUUGACUUUCUCUGCUGCUAAGAUGCAGGAGUUUGUUCAUUUGCUCUCUUAUUUAAUCCCUGUAUUCCCUAACCAAGUCGGUUCAUCUCGUAUAGAAGAAACGGAUGAACAACCAGACCAAAUGAAUUUCUGCCCAAAUGCAUGAUCAACUGUUAAUAAGAGUGAACUCUAAACCCUUGGACUGCCGAUGGUAUUGAGAGGACUUGCUCGAUGUCAAAAGUAGUUCAACAAGUUGGUUUUACUAACUUGUAACUGCUCAAUGAACGAAGGUUGAGUUUAGAGAUCGUUUUAUCGAUUUGCCUAAACUCACUUUGGUCCAACCCAUCCUUAGAAAGAACUUAAAAAAAAAUUAAGUUAAAUCGACUGAUAACCACCUAAUUAUCGCUCUAGUCGUGCCUUGAUCGCCUCGCGUGUGCUUUUCUAGCAUGAGUGAUCAGGUCGAGUCAUGCUUAGUGCUCGAUAAAAUGGAUUGGUUACGAAGGCAGUAUCUACAGAUCCCUUCGCUGGUGUUUUUUUUCGAGUCUAUCGUUUUCUUGGACUUGGAUUUUCUAGCUAACACGAGUUAACUGUGAUGUUAUUCGACAUUCACACCCGUCUCGUGUGCUAUGAACUUACUGUGACCACUUGUUGGUAAACCUCCUUUUGUGUGUUUUACCCAAGAUGGUGCAUCUGAUUCUGUUUGGGUAAACUCGCGUAUCUACCGCUCGCUCAACAGACUCAAAUAAUACAAUGUCAUCAGAAAAAGCAAACUGCACAUAUGGAACCUUAUGUGUUCUUCUGGCAAACAUCGUCUCUAUUGGUGGACAUUUCUAAAUUAGCCUAAGGCAAUACAUGUUAUGUCCACUGGAGAAACCACAUCCUGAGACACUCGCCUUUAAUUGGAAACGUCUCACGAUUAUCGCUGAUAUGAACAUGGGUUACAUACUUCUCUACCCUUAGAAGUCUUUCGCUCCGAAUCUCGGGACGAGAUUCUUUUAAGGGGGGAGGGCUGUAACACCCCAGGUGUUUAUAUUCUGCUCGACAACGAGUACGGAUUUAAGCACGUGAUAUCAGUAAAUAAGACGGACACUAGGGUCUAAUUAUUUUUGCCUAUCGCGAUUUUAAUAUCGCAUAUGUUCCGUCUGUCGCGAGUGCGACGUCGUUUUUAUUUUUAUCUAUCCGGGCUCUUUCGAAAUUUUCGUGUUGUCCGGAAGAUAGUCGUUCCGAAAAUCGGCGCGUCCGGUGAUUAUUUAAAAACUAUCGCUCGCGCGAAUACGAAUUCGGAAGCUCGACUCACUCGGAUGAUUUUUAUCCCGGGCAAAUUAGUUUGAACUCAACGACUAAAAUGUUCGGAGUAAAAUAAUUUGAAUCUCGCGAAAUCCUGCACGAGGUUAUGACCCACUUUAUUCUUCAGCACGUUGUUUUAGCGACGAAAACGAGGGUACAUUAACGAAUCGGGUUUCAGCUAAUUUCGGUCGAAUCACGCAGAACAAAUUAUCAGUACCGAAAUCAGUUUAUUUCAGUCUGUUGUUUCUCUCCCGGAUCCAAAUCUUCGGAUAUAAACAAUUAUUAAAUAAUUUGGUUCUCACUCGUCCACCGUGAAAUCGCGUACGAGAAUCUAUAAUUGAGCCUCGAUUCACUGGUAAGUUAUCCGUGGUUGUGGAACCAGAUGUUCUGACCUCAGGUAAAUUUAUCAGAUUUUGAAUCGAAGGGAACACAGUCCGAAAUAUGGUUGUUAAUAUCAUUCUAAUUUGUUCUGAUUAUGUAUCGUCCCGAUCUAAAAAUCUUGACUCAAAAAUAUCUGCGAUUUGUCGUUAAAAAAAAGGAAAAGGAAAUAUCCAUCUUCUCCACGCCGUUUGCUGGGGAAUAUUUUUUUUCCUCAACCUUGUCAAUACGGCAGUCGGCAGUUAUAGGUGUUCAUCUCUGCAGCCGUGAUUUUCCUGCCGCGAGCUCAUCUUCCCCAGAUUUUUCCCUCCGGCCGUUCAAGCGAUGGAUAUUUCAAGCCGCCCGUGGGUCUUGAUCUUUUCUUGGCGAUGUUCAUCUCCAGGCUGCCGCGCUUAUCUCCGUGAGAUAUUCCAGCGCCGCCCCCUGCUCUUUUUAAUGCGCGCGCAGCUUCUUCCCAGCCGCGCCUGCUCCUGGCGCUCCUCUUCCUCUCCCUGAGUUCCUUCCCUGCGCGUCGUGUGCCCAUCUCCUCCAGCGCCCUGCCCAGGUUCGACCAUGGCAUCCUCCUCUGUCGCGGUAUCCCGGCUCCUCGCCUAGGAUGGCGCUCGGUCGCCCGGCCAUCUAUUCCCCUUCCCAGCCGCGUCCUGUCGAGCUUAGCUCCGUGCGCGCGCGCUCUUCCCCCUUCCUGCCAUGGCCGCUCCUAUCUGCAGCUCGACCAGCCUUCUUCUCCCUGCUCGCCGAGGCUCCUGCUCCCAGUGUAGCGCUCCUCUCUCCUCCACCGCGCCGGACUUCCCUGCUCUCUGCUCCCUCGCGGCAGGCCGGCAACUUCCUCUCUCUCUGCUCGACCUUCCCAAACCCCAACACCGUCGAUCUCCUGCUUGUCCCUGCGCACGCGCCGCGGAUUUUCCUUGAGCUCCCUUGCGCGCUGGUCGCCUCUCCCUGCCCCAGUCCGUCUCCAAGCUCCAGCCGCGCCCCUGUCCCUGCUCUUAUGGUGGCGCCGGUCGGAUCUCCGCUGCUCGCCCAUGGCGCCCAGUCGAGGUUGCUCCCACGCGCGCCUCUGCUCCAGUUCUCGCCCGGGUCUGCAUCAGCAGGUCACCAGGGUCGCCUGAAGAUGUUUUCCCUAUUGCUCCUUGUCCACGGCCUUGGAACUCUGUAUUCUCAUCCGUAGUCGCCGGUUAUUAACCUCGGCGAGGUGCUCUCCAUCGUUUACAACCCCAGAGUCAUCGUCGUGGUUAGUCGUGGUCACGAUCUCGCCUUGCUGCCAUAGCCGCGCCUACUGCCGCGUCCGGCCUGCUCCCUUGUGCACGCUCUACUUCCUCGCCGAGCUCGUACCUGCGCGCCGAGAUCGCGUGCAGCUUUUCCAUCUCGUCGUUCUUCCCUGCGCGCGCAAGUUCUCUGUUGGGCGCGCGCGAAGCUCUCUGUUUGCCAUCAAAUCGCCUGUUCGCUGUCCGCAUCGACGAAAUUACCUCGCCGUGCGCUCUGGCAUCGGCUGCUGCCGACCCCGCCAUAAAGUUCACGAGCGCUCCUUGCUCGGCUCAUUUCACCGUGGGCAAUUUUUCCACGCCUCAAAUCCGUACUGCUUGCCCCGUGUGCGCUCGCUUUUCGUCCAUCGGGUUUUGCGCGUGCUCGCGUUUAUCGUCAAGUCGUCAAACCCGUCAUCCCUAGCUCGAUCUCCACUUCGCCAGCUCGCUCCAGACACAAUCUCGUCGCCGUUCCGUGCGUCGUCAAGUAAUCCCAAGAAUCAGGUGAAGACGAAGCUAGCAGCGCGAUAUUCCCCAAGCCCUCGACAAUUGCCUGGAUCAGAAAAUCACUACCGAUCUCGCGGAUUCGAGUCGGCUAUUGAAACGGUAAGCUGAUAAAUUAUCCAAAAUAGUUUGAUCGUUGUAUAAAUUGAUGUGCUAGUUCGAGGCGCAUUAAGGUGCUCGAUAAAUUGCGUAAGUCACGAACCUUUCGCCGACUUCGCAGUUCUUGCGAUUAUCGAGCCAGAUUCAGCUAUGGCGAAUUAUUUCGCUAUUCUAGUCACUUAGCUGAAUUAGUGGACCGAGUAGAAUUUUGGUAGGUAUGUGUGAUGUUAAAAUAUUUUAAUCACUUAUAAAGACAUAGAAUAAUUUAUAAAACAAGGGAUAAGGUUAACAUUUAAUCAAUUAGCUGGUGAGUUGUGUAGGCUAAUUUUAUUUAAUGUGUAUAGUUGUUGUUCGUGAUGUUUGCGAUAGGUUCGAGAAGCGUAAUUAUUGCGCUUAGUUAUACGCUGAUAACUAGUGUUUCCGAAUAAAACGGUACAACGCCUCGCCGCUAGGUGUUUAAUUCGCUAUCGCAUAACACUAUUUAGGUUUGUAAUAUUCAUGUUUAUAUGCAUUCAUAUGCAUAAUGCAUUUCAUUCAGGUACGUUAAUUAAUCGCGUGAUGCAGAAGAAAAACCAAGUCGACCCCAAGCGUGGGCUAAUCUGCAAGCUGAAGCUGAUGAAUCAACCUGAAGAUGGUUAAAUCAAGCAAGUGCUCGGUCAAAGAAUACUCGUCAAGCGGACGUCACCUAACAACACUAACCUAGUGUUACUCAGGCAAGCCCCGGUGCAUGCAACCCCUUUCCUUGUGUUUUUAAAUACUUUUCGCACACUUUAAGUCUAGUGAAAUGUGCAUUAAGUUUAUAGGAAUUGCUUGAAACCCUUUGAUGCAUUGCUUUCCUUGAUAUCCAUACCUUUAUCGAUACUUCUGUGAAGUAUCAAAAUUAUGAUUUACAAAAAUGCUUAACCUUGCUUAGAUCUUGUGGAUAGAGGUUGUCCUCAAUUUAACCCGGGAGAGGAUGGCUUCUACCUGCAAGAAUAUUUUCAUUUGGAGCAAUAGUGGGAUCUUACUGCAAAGUUCCCUGUGAUGCUCUUUCAUCCUAAGGAACAGACACAAUCCUAAGGAUGGAAAUACUUAAAUUGAGACUUGGGGUAGGAACAGGUGAUGUUCUACCCAGGUUGAUUAAGGAUUAACGCGUAUGUAGGCUUGAUGAUCGAGGACCCUUUAACUGGUCACAUGCCUCAUCAUGGGUAAGCCUUGCCUCGGGCAGACUAAGGCCGGAAUAAGAUAACACGAAAUGGGCGUGGAGCGGUGGCGAGAGUAGCGUGUACCCUCCGUGGCAAGAGGCUGGACGGUGCUGUAUCUGUGCUCUCGGUUUGCGUGAACCUGAUCCGGUCUUAAGAACCCCGGUGGCGGGUUGACAUAUGCAAGGGUUAAGUGCUACAUAUGUCGUGUGAUUGGAGAUCCUCAGCUGAGUAUAAUCGAUUCGGAUCGCCGUACCUUCGCGGUUAUGAAGACUUGGUCACUGCCCUGCAACCUAAAGUCAGGAUGUGAACACUAUGGAUAAAAAUGAUGUUGUAUUGAUGAGAUGGAAAUUAGACUAGAUGCAAAUGGAGUCUAUUAAUACUUAAUAUGGCGUUAAAAGAUUGAAAGUAAGGACUCACGUUAGUAAGCUACUUCUGCAAAAAUAUAAGUUGAUUUUUGCUAAAGCCUCUCCUUGACUCCUAUUUAUCCAGCAUACCCUUGAGAGUCUUUUCCUUAGUCGGGUAAGACUUGCUGAGUAAUUCCAUACUCAGGGUUUUAUUCCCUGUUGUUUUUCAGGUCCUAGUUUUGUGCUGCUGAUGAUGGUGUUAAGUGCCGGUGGGCUCGGCCUUCUUAUAAGUUUAAGUAACUCCCUUAUACUUCUUAUUGAGGAUGGUCUUUUGAGCUAGCAUAUAUUUCAAACUUAUAACCACUCCGAUAGAAUAAUAUAAAAUUUUUGUAACUUGUAAAAUUUGGUAAUAAGAUUUCCGCUGCAAUAAUAUUGUUGUGUGUGAUUUGUGUUACUUAAUCCCGCGGUUCUGGUUGUAAGUGGUUUAUCCGAUGUCCUUGGGGUAAUCGGACGGAUCCUGUUAAGUUAUUUGGUGCACAUGCAUAGUCGUCUGAGGUCUUUGAGACAAGGACAGGUGCAUGUGGGCCCAAUAACUUGGGAGG